GAUGGUGUUGGAAUUGGUUGUGAUGGUGUUGCUCUGUUAUGAUAAUGCACUUCAGAAAAUAGGAAACAAUUUUAAGUUUGACGUAGUAAUGAUACUGGAUGGACUGGUUCACACACUUGGAUACAAUAGGAGUGAUGGGUGUCGCCGCCCAAUCAAAUUUGAUGUGCAGUUUAAAGUGCAGUAUAGCUAGGGAAUGACCCCUAGGUCGUCUCCCAAAGACCAAUUUUGCGGUUCGAGAAUCGAGUCUAACACGAAAAAGG
RNAcentral lists this long non-coding RNA (260 nucleotides) under Vigna radiata. RNAcentral describes it as "long non-coding RNA (VRAD_LNC016102)". Lineage: Eukaryota; Viridiplantae; Streptophyta; Magnoliopsida; Fabales; Fabaceae. The record is from RNAcentral.